GAAUAGUAGCACAUUAUACUUAUUUCAUUGAAAAUAUCAUUCAUGUUUAUCAAUACAUCCAUAUCAAUGAGAAGAUUCAUACCAGAACAUAAGUACAAAGAAUGUACAAUUAUCAUAUAUCAAUAAACUAAUCAAACACACAAAGUGUUAACUCCUCAUACCUUGUCUGAAAUCCUCGCGGCAACUCUCUAUUCAAACUUUUGCAUCUUUCUCUCUCCAACUCUCGUUUUCAC
RNAcentral lists this long non-coding RNA (233 nucleotides) under Vigna radiata. RNAcentral describes it as "long non-coding RNA (VRAD_LNC013844)". The record is from RNAcentral. Lineage: Eukaryota; Viridiplantae; Streptophyta; Magnoliopsida; Fabales; Fabaceae.